This 838-nucleotide non-coding RNA is filed under the name Dyscophus insularis (Antsouhy tomato frog). RNAcentral describes it as "partial 12S rRNA". It matches the Rfam family "Bacterial small subunit ribosomal RNA". The record is from RNAcentral. Lineage: Eukaryota; Metazoa; Chordata; Amphibia; Anura; Microhylidae.
UGCAAGUAUCCGCACACCCGUGAGAACGCCCUUACCCCUCUUUCAGGACAAGGAGCCGGUAUCAGGCACAGACCAUCUUGCCCAUAACACCUAGCUUUGCCACACCCUCAAGGGUAUUCAGCAGUGAUAAACCUUGUUUAUAAGCGCCAGCUUGAUUCAGUUAGAGUAAUACAGAGCCGGCUAACCCGGUGCCAGCCGCCGCGGCUACACCGUGGGACUCAAGUUGAUAGACAUCGGCGUUAAGCGUGUUUAAAGUGACUAAAAGAUUAGAAUUAAACCUCAAUAAAGCUGUGACAACCUUAUUAGAGAGAGAACCAAAAACGAAAGUUAUUCUAACCUAACCACUUGAAUCCACGAUAGCUAGGAAACAAACUGGGAUUAGGUACCCCACUAUGCCUAGCCGUAAAAUAUUUAAUCACACCAAAACCGCCAGGGAAUUACGAGCCCAAGCUUAAAACCCAAAGGACUUGACGGUGUCCCACCCACCUAGAGGAGCCUGUUCUGUAAUCGAUAAUCCCCGAUAAACCUCACCACUUUUUGCUAUUCAGCCUGUAUACCUCCGUCGUAAGCUUACCAUAUGAACGUCUAUUAGUGAGCUCAAAGAUCCAUCAUCCAUACGUCAGGUCAAGGUGCAGCCCACAAAGUGGGAAGAAAUGGGCUACAAUUUCUAACAUAGAACAAACGGAAAAACUGCAUGAAACACAGUCAAUAAGGUGGAUUUAGUAGUAAAAAGAAAGCAGAGUGUUCUUUUUAAUUAGGCACUGGGACGCGUACACACCGCCCGUCACCCUCUUCAAAUGCCCCUAAAAAGUCAAUGACAACAUACCGCACACCAGAA